RNAcentral lists this long non-coding RNA (629 nucleotides) under Ananas comosus (pineapple). RNAcentral describes it as "long non-coding RNA (ACOM_LNC012100)". The record is from RNAcentral. Lineage: Eukaryota; Viridiplantae; Streptophyta; Magnoliopsida; Poales; Bromeliaceae.
AGUUGUACAUUACAGUAGCGAUAGUUGUGUUUUUCAUAUAUAUAUAUAUAUAUAUAUCUCAUUCGUUCAUUAUCGUUGCUACUGUAUUUUACUUACCCAUACUGUUGGUUAUUUCUUCCUGAUCCGGUGAAUACUCCUCGCCUUCUUCGGCUUGCGGUACCCACUGGGAGGGGAGACAUGUUUACAUGUUCUCACCUCCCCCACCAUUUUUCAGGUAUCGUGGGCGAUGAGUAGUGGGACGAGACGUGAGGUACGCGUGUAGCGGUCGAUAGAGCUUUCGACCCGGGUUAAUUCGGUUUACUUUUUUUACCCUUCUUAUUUUGGCUGAUGAAUAGUUUAGUGGUUUAUGUGGUUCAGUGUUUAUUUACAUUUGAAAAUGUGGAUUUCUAGAUUUUGUAAAAUAAAAGAUUUUCUACCCCUCGUGGUAGCGUUUUUAAAAGAAUAAAGGAUUCUGUAUAGGAAACAGCUUUCAAAAGAAUUUUCGUGAAUUUCUAUUUAAUCACUGAAUGUAAAACUGUGAUGUGAAUGGUGAAUGUAUGAAUGUAUAGUUAUCUUUAUAUUCAUUUGGUUGUGGUUGUUUCCUGGCUAUACUCUUGUACUUGUGCGACGCCGUGCAAAUACAGGGGAGA